RNAcentral lists this ribosomal RNA (448 nucleotides) under uncultured archaeon. RNAcentral's name for it is "bacterial SSU rRNA". It matches the Rfam family "Archaeal small subunit ribosomal RNA", at positions 474 to 922 of the family's 1478-position model. The record is from RNAcentral.
UACCAGCUCUCCGAGUGGUGUGGACGUUUAUUGGGCCUAAAGCAUCCGUAGCUGGCUGAACAAGUCCCCUGUUAAACCCACCGAUUUAAUCGUUGGUCUGCGGGGGAUACUGCUCGGCUAGGGGACGAGAGAGGCAGACGGUAUUCCCGGGGUAGGGGUGAAAUCCUAUAAUCCCGAGAAGACCACCAGUGGCGAAGGCUGUCUGCUAGAACGCGCCCGACGGUGAGGGAUGAAAGCUGGGGGAGCGAACCGGAUUAGAUACCCGGGUAGUCCCAGCUGUAAACGAUGCAGACUAGGUGUUUGGACGGCCACGUGCCGUUCUAGUGCCGCAGGGAAGCUGUUAAGUCUGCCGCCUGGGGAGUACGAUCGCAAGAUUGAAACUUAAAGGAAUUGGCGGGGGAGCACCACAAGGGGUGAAGCUUGCGGUUUAAUUGGAUUCAACGCCGGA